RNAcentral lists this ribosomal RNA (1372 nucleotides) under uncultured bacterium. RNAcentral describes it as "bacterial SSU rRNA". It matches the Rfam family "Bacterial small subunit ribosomal RNA", at positions 28 to 1381 of the family's 1533-position model. The record is from RNAcentral.
GAUGAACGCUGGCGGCGUGCCUAAUACAUGCAAGUCGAGCGAACGGACGAGAAGCUUGCUUCUCUGAUGUUAGCGGCGGACGGGUGAGUAACACGUGGAUAACCUACCUAUAAGACUGGGAUAACUUCGGGAAACCGUAGCUAAUACCGGAUAAUAUUUUGAACCGCAUGGUUCAAAAGUGAAAGACGGUCUUGCUGUCACUUAUAGAUGGAUCCGCGCUGCAUUAGCUAGUUGGUAAGGUAACGGCUUACCAAGGCAACGAUGCAUAGCCGACCUGAGAGGGUGAUCGGCCACACUGGAACUGAGACACGGUCCAGACUCCUACGGGAGGCAGCAGUAGGGAAUCUUCCGCAAUGGGCGAAAGCCUGACGGAGCAACGCCGCGUGAGUGAUGAAGGUCUUCGGAUCGUAAAACUCUGUUAUUAGGGAAGAACAUAUGUGUAAGUAACUGUGCACAUCUUGACGGUACCUAAUCAGAAAGCCACGGCUAACUACGUGCCAGCAGCCGCGGUAAUACGUAGGUGGCAAGCGUUAUCCGGAAUUAUUGGGCGUAAAGCGCGCGUAGGCGGUUUUUUAAGUCUGAUGUGAAAGCCCACGGCUCAACCGUGGAGGGUCAUUGGAAACUGGAAAACUUGAGUGCAGAAGAGGAAAGUGGAAUUCCAUGUGUAGCGGUGAAAUGCGCAGAGAUAUGGAGGAACACCAGUGGCGAAGGCGACUUUCUGGUCUGUAACUGACGCUGAUGUGCGAAAGCGUGGGGAUCAAACAGGAUUAGAUACCCUGGUAGUCCACGCCGUAAACGAUGAGUGCUAAGUGUUAGGGGGUUUCCGCCCCUUAGUGCUGCAGCUAACGCAUUAAGCACUCCGCCUGGGGAGUACGACCGCAAGGUUGAAACUCAAAGGAAUUGACGGGGACCCGCGCAAGCGGUGGAGCAUGUGGUUUAAUUCGAAGCAACGCGAAGAACCUUACCAAAUCUUGACAUCCUUUGACAACUCUAGAGAUAGAGCCUUCCCCUUCGGGGGACAAAGUGACAGGUGGUGCAUGGUUGUCGUCAGCUCGUGUCGUGAGAUGUUGGGUUAAGUCCCGCAACGAGCGCAACCCUUAAGCUUAGUUGCCAUCAUUAAGUUGGGCACUCUAAGUUGACUGCCGGUGACAAACCGGAGGAAGGUGGGGAUGACGUCAAAUCAUCAUGCCCCUUAUGAUUUGGGCUACACACGUGCUACAAUGGACAAUACAAAGGGCAGCGAAACCGCGAGGUCAAGCAAAUCCCAUAAAGUUGUUCUCAGUUCGGAUUGUAGUCUGCAACUCGACUACAUGAAGCUGGAAUCGCUAGUAAUCGUAGAUCAGCAUGCUACGGUGAAUACGUUCCCGGGUCU